AUGACCUGCAACAGCAUGGUGCAAGGGUUGAACUGGUGGAUUCAGGGUCACACCUUCACCACCGAUAUGCGUCAACUGGAGUUGGGCGCCUACGACGGCGUGCUCAGCAUGGAUUGGUUGGAGCAGUUCAGUCCCAUGAGCUGCCACUGGCUCGACAAGACGCUGACAUUCGAGUACCACAGCGCAAUGAUCACCCUGCAAGGUGUUCGACCGAAGCAGCCCGAGGAAGUGGAGGAGAUCGAGCCCGAGCAGCUGCACAAAUGGCACGCCAGCAAUGACAUUUGGUACAUGGUCGUCCUGGAUUUGCCCAGCGCACCAGAGCCACCUGCAACCAAAAUUCCACCAAGUGUUCAGAGCGUUCUGACGGACUUCGCCGACGUGUUCGCCGAACCAAAGGGCCUACCUCCUCACCGCCGCUACGAUCACGCAAUCACCCUGGUGGACAACGCGCGCCCCGCCAACUCGCGCCCGUACCGCUACUCGCCCCUCCAGAAAGACGAGAUCGAGCGCCAAGUCCGCGAGAUGCUCGAGUCAGGUGUCAUCGAGCACAGUAUGAGCCCGCUCGCCGCGCCGGUGCUGCUCGUCAAGAAGAAGGACGGCACCUGGCGCUUUUGCCUCGACUACCGCCGACUCAACGACGCCACGGUCAAGAACAAAUUCCCACUGCCCAUCGUCGACGAGUUGCUCGACGAACUGGCUGGAGCAGCCUUCUUCUCCAAGCUGGACCUCCGCGAUGGUUACCACCAAAUACGCAUGCGCGCAGGCGACGAAGAGAAGACGGCGUUCAAGACACACCAUGGCCAUUUCCACUUCAAGGUCAUGCCGUUCGGGCUGACGAACGCACCGGCCACGUUCCAAUGCCUCAUGAAUGCAAUCUUCACCCAGUACGUGCGUAAAUUCGUGAUCAUAUUUUUG
Molecule: ribosomal RNA, 915 nt
Filed under: Triticum aestivum (bread wheat)
Lineage: Eukaryota; Viridiplantae; Streptophyta; Magnoliopsida; Poales; Poaceae
Description: partial small subunit ribosomal RNA
Source: RNAcentral